UGAGGGGCGGCCGACUGUGAGGAAAUGAUUUUCGUGGAAUAUUACUUCCUCACCAAAGGGGAACUUGUGCAUGAAUUUUAAUUGGGAGAAAGCAUCUUGAAGCGCGACAUGAAGGCUGAUAGAAAUCCAAUCAGCAACAGUGCCAAGAAAGAGGAAUUUCCCAAUAUUUAAAGAACAGAGCAUAUUGAAAAACAUGGUUUGCGUACUUGCCUUGGUAAAAGAUCCGCACAGCUGCAGAUCUCCAAUGUUUCCAUCAAUUUUGAUACUGAACUAGUUCCUAGGCUAAUACUGAAGAGACAUGAGAAGCUGUGCUAAUAAAGCUCUGAGCUGUUUAACACCUAUUUACAAUCUUGAGAUUACAGCAAA
Molecule: long non-coding RNA, 366 nt
Organism: Populus euphratica (Euphrates poplar)
Lineage: Eukaryota; Viridiplantae; Streptophyta; Magnoliopsida; Malpighiales; Salicaceae
Exons: 2
Source: RefSeq, a predicted model, not a curated record